CCUACGGGAGGCAGCAGUGGGGAAUAUUGCACAAUGGGGGAAACCCUGAUGCAGCGACGCCGCGUGAGUGACGAAGUAUUUCGUUAUGUAAAGCUCUAUCAGCAGGGAAGAAAAUGACGGUACCUGUGUAAGAAGCCCCGGCUAACUACGUGCCAGCAGCCGCGGUAAUACGUAGGGGGCAAGCGUUAUCCGGAUUUACUGGGUGUAAAGGGAGCGUAGACGGCAGUGCAAGUCUGGAGUGAAAGGCGGGGGCUCAACCCCCGGACUGCUCUGGAAACUGUACGGCUGGAGUGCAGGAGAGGUAAGUGGAAUGCGUAGUGUAGCGGUGAAAUGCGUAGAUAUUAGGAGGAACACCAGUGGCGAAGGCGGCUUACUGGACUGUAACUGACGUUGAGUCUCGAAAGCGUGGGGAGCAAACAGGAUUAGAUACCCCAGUAGUC
This 440-nucleotide ribosomal RNA is filed under the name uncultured bacterium. Its description in RNAcentral is "partial 16S ribosomal RNA". It matches the Rfam family "Bacterial small subunit ribosomal RNA", at positions 338 to 795 of the family's 1533-position model. The record is from RNAcentral.